CGGACGGCUCAGUAACACGUGGCUAACCUACCCUCGGGUGGGGGAUAACCUCGGGAAACUGAGGAUAAUACCCCAUAGGAGAAGAGGUCUGGAAUGAUCCUUCUCUGAAAACAUAUGUGCCCGAGGAUGGGGCUGCGUCUGAUUAGGUAGUUGGUGGGGUAACGGCCCACCAAGCCUACGAUCAGUACGGGCCUUGAGAGAGGCAGCCCGGAGAUGGGGACUGAGACACGGCCCCAGGCCCUACGGGGCGCAGCAGGCGCGAAACCUCCGCAAUGCACGAAAGUGCGACGGGGGGACCCCAAGUGCUUACGCACUGCGUAGGCUUUUCUAAAGUGUAAAAAGCUUUAGGAAUAAGGGCUGGGCAAGUCCGGUGCCAGCAGCCGCGGUAACACCGGCGGCCCGAGUGGUGACCACUUUUAUUGGGCCUAAAGCGUCCGUAGCCGGUCCAGUAAGUCCCUGUUUAAAUCCUACGGCUUAACCGUAGGGCUGGCAGGGAUACUGCUGGACUUGGGACCGGGAGAGGGCGAGGGUACUUCAGGGGUAGCGGUGAAAUGUGUUGAUCCCUGGAGGACCACCUAUGGCGAAGGCACUCGCCUGGAA
Molecule: ribosomal RNA, 600 nt
Filed under: uncultured archaeon
Lineage: Archaea
Description: bacterial SSU rRNA
Rfam family: Archaeal small subunit ribosomal RNA
Source: RNAcentral